GAUGAACGCUGGCGGCGUGCCUAAUACAUGCAAGUCGAGCGAACGGACGAUAAUCUUGCUUCUCUGAUGUUAGCGGCGGACGGGUGAGUAACACGUGUAUAACCUACCUAUAAGACUGGGAUAACUUCGGGAAACCGGAGCUAAUACCGGAUGAUAUUUUGAACCGCAUGGUUCAAAAGUGAAAGUCGGUCUUUCUGUCAGUAAUCGCUGGAUCUCCGCUGCUUUAGCUAGUUGGUAAGGUAACGGCUUACCAAGGCAAGGAUGCAUAGCCGACCUGACAGGGGGGUAGGCCACACUGGAACUGAGACACGGUCCAGAGUCCUAAGGGAGGCAGCAGUCGGGAAUCUUAGGCAAUAGGCGAAAGCCUGACGGAGCAGCGCCGCGUGAGUGAUGAAGGUCUUCGGAGCGUAAAACUCUGUUAUGAGGGAAGAACAUAUGUGUACGUAGAUGUGCACAUCUUGACGGUACCUAAUCAGAAAGCCACGGCUAACUACGUG
RNAcentral lists this ribosomal RNA (497 nucleotides) under uncultured bacterium. RNAcentral describes it as "partial 16S ribosomal RNA". It matches the Rfam family "Bacterial small subunit ribosomal RNA", at positions 28 to 507 of the family's 1533-position model. The record is from RNAcentral.